Non-coding RNA from Acanthosepion pharaonis, 110 nucleotides. The record is from the annotation of a GenBank genome assembly. Lineage: Eukaryota; Metazoa; Mollusca; Cephalopoda; Sepiida; Sepiidae.
GACCAAAUCACAUCAAAACACCAGUUCCCGUACAAUCACCAAAGUUAAGCAAUGUUGAGCCUGGUCAGUACCUAGAUGGGUGACUGCUUGGAAAUACCAAGUGUUGUAAG